GAUGAACGCUGGCGGCGUGCCUAAUACAUGCAAGUCGAGCGAACAGACGAGGAGCUUGCUCCUCUGACGUUAGCGGCGGACGGGUGAGUAACACGUGGAUAACCUACCUAUAAGACGGGGAUAACUUCGGGAAACCGGAGCUAAUACCGGAUAAUAUAUUGAACCGCAUGGUUCAAUAGUGAAUGACGGUUUUGCUGUCACUUAUAGAUGGAUCCGCGCCGCAUUAGCUAGUUGGUAAGGUAACGGCUUACCAAGGCAACGAUGCGUAGCCGACCUGAGAGGGUGAUCGGCCACACUGGAACUGAGACACGGUCCAGACUCCUACGGGAGGCAGCAGUAGGGAAUCUUCCGCAAUGGGCGAAAGCCUGACGGAGCAACGCCGCGUGAGUGAUGAAGGUCUUCGGAUCGUAAAACUCUGUUAUUAGGGAAGAACAAAUGUGUAAGUAACUAUGCACGUCUUGACGGUACCUAAUCAGAAAGCCACGGCUAACUACGUG
RNAcentral lists this ribosomal RNA (497 nucleotides) under uncultured bacterium. Its description in RNAcentral is "partial 16S ribosomal RNA". It matches the Rfam family "Bacterial small subunit ribosomal RNA", at positions 28 to 507 of the family's 1533-position model. The record is from RNAcentral.